UACGGGGGGAGCAAGCGUUGUUCGGAUUUACUGGGCGUAAAGGGCGCGUAGGCGGCCACGACAAGUCACUUGUGAAAUCUCCGGGCUUAACUCGGAACGGUCAAGUGAUACUGUCGGGCUAGAGUGCAGAAGGGGCAACUGGAAUUCUCGGUGUAGCGGUGAAAUGCGUAGAUAUCUGGAGGAACACCGGUGGCGAAGGCGGCAUCCUGGACCAACACUGACACUGAUGAGCGAAAGCCAGGGGAGCAAACGGG
RNAcentral lists this ribosomal RNA (254 nucleotides) under uncultured bacterium. RNAcentral describes it as "partial 16S ribosomal RNA". It matches the Rfam family "Bacterial small subunit ribosomal RNA", at positions 524 to 776 of the family's 1533-position model. The record is from RNAcentral.